RNAcentral lists this ribosomal RNA (779 nucleotides) under uncultured bacterium. RNAcentral describes it as "bacterial SSU rRNA". It matches the Rfam family "Bacterial small subunit ribosomal RNA", at positions 62 to 802 of the family's 1533-position model. The record is from RNAcentral.
UCGAGCGAGUCUGCCUUGAAGAUCGGAGUGCUUGCACUCUGUGAAACAAGAUACAGGCUAGCGGCGGACGGGUGAGUAACACGUGGGUAACCUGCCCAAGAGAUCGGGAUAACACCUGGAAACAGAUGCUAAUACCGGAUAACAACAGAUGAUGCCUAUCAACUGUUUAAAAGAUGGUUCUGCUAUCACUCUUGGAUGGACCUGCGGUGCAUUAGCUAGUUGGUAGGGUAACGGCCUACCAAGGCGAUGAUGCAUAGCCGAGUUGAGAGACUGAUCGGCCUCAUUGGGACUGAGACACGGCCCAAACUCCUACGGGAGGCAGCAGUAGGGAAUCUUCCACAAUGGGCGCAAGUCUGAUGGAGCAACGCCGCGUGAGUGAAGAAGGGUUUCGGCUCGUAAAGCUCUGUUGUUGGUGAAGAAGGACAGGGGUAGUAACUGACCUUUGUUUGACGGUAAUCAAUUAGAAAGUCACGGCUAACUACGUGCAGCAGCCGCGGUAAUACGUAGGUGGCAAGCGUUGUCCGGAUUUAUUGGGCGUAAAGCGAGUGCAGGCGGCUCGAUAAGUCUGAUGUGAAAGCCUUCGGCUCAACCGGAGAAUUGCAUCAGAAACUGUCGAGCUUGAGUACAGAAGAGGAGAGUGGAACUCCAUGUGUAGCGGUGAAAUGCGUAGAUAUAUGGAAGAACACCGGUGGCGAAGGCGGCUCUCUGGUCUGUUACUGACGCUGAGGCUCGAAAGCAUGGGUAGCGAACAGGAUCAGAUACCCUGGUAGUCCAUGCCG